This 476-nucleotide ribosomal RNA is filed under the name uncultured organism. Its description in RNAcentral is "partial 16S ribosomal RNA". It matches the Rfam family "Bacterial small subunit ribosomal RNA", at positions 332 to 799 of the family's 1533-position model. The record is from RNAcentral.
UACACUCCUACGGGAGGCAGCAGUGGGGAAUAUUGCACAAUGGGCGCAAGCCUGAUGCAGCCAUGCCGCGUGUAUGAAGAAGGCCUUCGGGUUGUAAAGUACUUUCAGCGGGGAGGAAGGCAAUACGGUUAAUAACCGUGUUGAUUGACGUUACCCGCAGAAGAAGCACCGGCUAACUCCGUGCCAGCAGCCGCGGUAAUACGGAGGGUGCAAGCGUUAAUCGGAAUUACUGGGCGUAAAGCGCACGCAGGCGGUCUGUCAAGUCGGAUGUGAAAUCCCCGGGCUCAACCUGGGAACUGCAUUCGAAACUGGCAGGCUUGAGUCUUGUAGAGGGGGGUAGAAUUCCAGGUGUAGCGGUGAAAUGCGUAGAGAUCUGGAGGAAUACCGGUGGCGAAGGCGGCCCCCUGGACAAAGACUGACGCUCAGGUGCGAAAGCGUGGGGAGCAAACAGGAUUAGAAACCCUGGUAGUCCCAUG